CGCGUAGGCGGUCUUUUAAGUCAGAUGUGAAAGCCCGGGGCUCAACCCCGGAAGUGCAUUUGAAACUAAAGGACUUGAGUAUGGGAGAGGGAAGUGGAAUUCCUGGUGUAGAGGUGAAAUUCGUAGAUAUCAGGAGGAACACCGGUGGCGAAGGCGACUUCCUGGACCAAUACUGACGCUGAGGCGCGAAGGCGUGGGGAGCAAACAGGAUUAGAUACCCUGGUAGUCC
This 229-nucleotide ribosomal RNA is filed under the name uncultured bacterium. RNAcentral describes it as "partial 16S ribosomal RNA". It matches the Rfam family "Bacterial small subunit ribosomal RNA", at positions 568 to 796 of the family's 1533-position model. The record is from RNAcentral.